GUCCCGGUAGCUCAGCUGGAUAGAGCAAUGGCCUUCUAAGCCAUCGGUCGGGGGUUCGAAUCCCUCCCGGGACG
This 74-nucleotide transfer RNA is filed under the name Nosocomiicoccus ampullae. RNAcentral describes it as "tRNA-Arg". It matches the Rfam family "tRNA". Rfam says of the family: Transfer RNA (tRNA) molecules are approximately 80 nucleotides in length. Their secondary structure includes four short double-helical elements and three loops (D, anti-codon, and T loops). RNAcentral also lists the same sequence under 4 other names. The record is from RNAcentral. Lineage: Bacteria; Bacillati; Bacillota; Bacilli; Caryophanales; Staphylococcaceae.